AUGACUUGUAAAGAAGUUUUGAGUAUACUUUCAGAGAAACACCAGCAAAAGUUGAAGUCAUUUGGGAAGAAACAAGUCUGGAAGAAAAUACGCCACAGACGCACACCAAGAGGUGGAACUUCAAGAGCACUUCUGGAUUGGAACCCAGGCUGUGGGACCCAUUCAUUGGAAUCAAGUGAUACUAUUACACACUGGCUAAAUGCUGUAUCAAUUACAGAGUGAUUUUGAAUUCUUUAAUCUGAGUUUCCUUGAUUGUAAAGAAGGUAACUGAGACCAACAUCAAUGAGGCUUGAAAGAGAUCAUGUAAAUAGGACCCAAGACACCAGGGGCAUCCAGACUAGGGUAAGUACUGCUUAUUUUAAUUCAUAUGCUCAUAUUGUCCUAUCAGAUUUCUAAGAAAAUUCCAAUAAAAUCAUGAAGCUCCUAGAGUGUCCACAAAAAGAAAUUUAUAUGUGUAGUGAACAAAUUGUAGGCUUUAAAAUAUGUAUCUUUUAGAACCGCUCCUUGAUCUCAGAAG
This 517-nucleotide long non-coding RNA is filed under the name Fukomys damarensis (Damara mole-rat). RNAcentral's name for it is "lncRNA (ENSFDAG00000029136.1)". The record is from RNAcentral. Lineage: Eukaryota; Metazoa; Chordata; Mammalia; Rodentia; Bathyergidae.